CUUGCGGCCAUAUCACAUUGAAACACCGGUUCUCGUACGAUUACUGCAGUUAAGCCACAUCAAACCUGAUCAGUAUUUAGAUGAGUGACCGCUUGAGAAUACCAGGUGCUGUAAG
This is a non-coding RNA of Acanthosepion pharaonis, 115 nucleotides long. Lineage: Eukaryota; Metazoa; Mollusca; Cephalopoda; Sepiida; Sepiidae. The record is from the annotation of a GenBank genome assembly.